UCCCUGGUGGUCCAAUGGUUAAGACUCCAUGCUUCCUGUGCAGGGGCACAGGUUCAAUUCCUGACUGGGGAA
Molecule: transfer RNA, 72 nt
Filed under: Bos taurus (domestic cattle)
Lineage: Eukaryota; Metazoa; Chordata; Mammalia; Artiodactyla; Bovidae
Also listed under: 3 other names
Rfam family: tRNA
About the family: Transfer RNA (tRNA) molecules are approximately 80 nucleotides in length. Their secondary structure includes four short double-helical elements and three loops (D, anti-codon, and T loops). Further hydrogen bonds mediate the characteristic L-shaped molecular structure. tRNAs have two regions of fundamental functional importance: the anti-codon, which is responsible for specific mRNA codon recognition, and the 3' end, to which the tRNAs corresponding amino acid is attached (by aminoacyl-tRNA synthetases). tRNAs cope with the degeneracy of the genetic code in two manners: having more than one tRNA (with a specific anti-codon) for a particular amino acid; and 'wobble' base-pairing, i.e. permitting non-standard base-pairing at the 3rd anti-codon position.
Source: Rfam by way of RNAcentral